RNAcentral lists this ribosomal RNA (814 nucleotides) under uncultured Comamonadaceae bacterium. RNAcentral describes it as "bacterial SSU rRNA". It matches the Rfam family "Bacterial small subunit ribosomal RNA", at positions 60 to 868 of the family's 1533-position model. The record is from RNAcentral. Lineage: Bacteria; Pseudomonadati; Pseudomonadota; Betaproteobacteria; Burkholderiales; Comamonadaceae.
AGUCGAACGGCAGCAUAGGUGCUUGCACCUGAUGGCGAGUGGCGAACGGGUGAGUAAUGCAUCGGAACGUGCCCAGUCGUGGGGGAUAACGCAGCGAAAGCUGUGCUAAUACCGCAUACGAUCUAUGGAUGAAAGCGGGGGACCUUCGGGCCUCGCGCGAUUGGAGCGGCCGAUGUUAGAUUAGGUAGUUGGUGGGGUAAAGGCUCACCAAGCCAACGAUCUAUAGCUGGUCUGAGAGGACGACCAGCCACACUGGAACUGAGACACGGUCCAGACUCCUACGGGAGGCAGCAGUGGGGAAUUUUGGACAAUGGGCGAAAGCCUGAUCCAGCAAUACCGCGUGCAGGAAGAAGGCCCUCGGGUUGUAAACUGCUUUUGUACGGAACGAAACGGCGCGCUCUAAUAAAGUGCGCUAAUGACGGUACCGUAAGAAUAAGCACCGGCUAACUACGUGCCAGCAGCCGCGGUAAUACGUAGGGUGCAAGCGUUAAUCGGAAUUACUGGGCGUAAAGCGUGCGCAGGCGGUUUUGUAAGACAGGCGUGAAAUCCCCGGGCUCAACCUGGGAAUUGCGCUUGUGACUGCAAGGCUAGAGUACGGUAGAGGGGGGUAGAAUUCCGCGUGUAGCGGUGAAAUGCGUAGAUAUGCGGAGGAACACCGAUGGCGAAGGCAGCCCCCUGGACCUGUACUGACGCUCAUGCACGAAAGCGUGUGGAGCAAACAGGAUUAGAUACCCUGGUAGUCCACGCCCUAAACGAUGUCAACUGGUUGUUGGGAAUUUACUUUCUCAGUAACGAAGCUAACGCGUGAAGUUGA